RNAcentral lists this ribosomal RNA (135 nucleotides) under Sinocyclocheilus rhinocerous. The record is from RNAcentral. Lineage: Eukaryota; Metazoa; Chordata; Actinopteri; Cypriniformes; Cyprinidae.
UCAAUCAGUAAAUUACUGAUAUUACACACAAACCUUACACAUACCUGGACUGGUUGCCCAGUAAAGCUAAGCAGGGCUGAGCCUGGUCAGUACCUGGAUGGGAGACCUCCUGGGAAAACUAGGUUGCUGUUGGAA